GGGUUGUGAGGUUAAGCGACUAAGCGUACACGGUGGAUGCCCUGGCAGUCAGAGGCGAUGAAGGACGUGCUAAUCUGCGAUAAGCGCCGGUAAGGUGAUAUGAACCGUUAUAACCGGCGAUUUCCGAAUGGGGAAACCCAGUGUGACUCGUCACACUAUCAUUAACUGAAUCCAUAGGUUAAUGAGGCGAACCGGGGGAACUGAAACAUCUAAGUACCCCGAGGAAAAGAAAUCAACCGAGAUUCCCCCAGUAGCGGCGAGCGAACGGGGAGGAGCCCAGAGCCUGAAUCAGCAUGUGUGUUAGUGGAAGCGUCUGGAAAGGCGCGCGAUACAGGGUGACAGCCCCGUACACAAAAGCGCACAUGCUGUGAGCUCGAUGAGUAGGGCGGGACACGUGGUAUCCUGUCUGAAUAUGGGGGGACCAUCCUCCAAGGCUAAAUACUCCUGACUGACCGAUAGUGAACCAGUACCGUGAGGGAAAGGCGAAAAGAACCCCGGCGAGGGGAGUGAAAAAGAACCUGAAACCGUGUACGUACAAGCAGUGGGAGCCCCACCACUAAGCCAGUGGUGAAAUCCACAUACGCAUCCUUUGCUGAGGAUACGGUUAACGGAGCGCAAGCGACGU
RNAcentral lists this ribosomal RNA (625 nucleotides) under Salmonella enterica. RNAcentral describes it as "partial 23S ribosomal RNA". It matches the Rfam family "Bacterial large subunit ribosomal RNA", at positions 1 to 643 of the family's 2925-position model. Lineage: Bacteria; Pseudomonadati; Pseudomonadota; Gammaproteobacteria; Enterobacterales; Enterobacteriaceae. The record is from RNAcentral.